GACGAACGCUGGCGGCGUGCUUAACACAUGCAAGUCGAACGGAAAGGCCCUGCUUUUGUGGGGUGCUCGAGUGGCGAACGGGUGAGUAACACGUGAGUAACCUGCCCUUGACUUUGGGAUAACUUCAGGAAGCUGGGGCUAAUACCGGAUAGGAGCUCCUGCUGCAUGGUGGGGGUUGGAAAGUUUCGGCGGUUGGGGAUGGACUCGCGGCUUAUCAGCUUGUUGGUGGGGUAGUGGCUUACCAAGGCUUUGACGGGUAGCCGGCCUGAGAGGGUGACCGGCCACAUUGGGACUGAGAUACGGCCCAGACUCCUACGGGAGGCAGCAGUGGGGAAUAUUGCACAAUGGGCGGAAGCCUGAUGCAGCAACGCCGCGUGCGGGAUGACGGCCUUCGGGUUAUAAACCGCUUUCGCCUGUGACGAAGCGUGAGUGACGGUAAUGGGUAAAGAAGCACCGGCUAACUACGUG
This 468-nucleotide ribosomal RNA is filed under the name uncultured bacterium. RNAcentral's name for it is "partial 16S ribosomal RNA". It matches the Rfam family "Bacterial small subunit ribosomal RNA", at positions 28 to 507 of the family's 1533-position model. The record is from RNAcentral.